CCUACGGGAGGCAGCAGUGGGGAAUUUUGGACAAUGGGCGAAAGCCUGAUCCAGCCAUUCCGCGUGAGUGAAGAAGGCCUUCGGGUUGUAAAGCUCUUUCGCAAGGGAAGAAAACUUAUAUUCUAAUAAAGUAUGAGGAUGACGGUACCUUGAUAAGAAGCACCGGCUAACUACGUGCCAGCAGCCGCGGUAAUACGUAGGGUGCGAGCGUUAAUCGGAAUUACUGGGCGUAAAGCGUGCGCAGGCGGUUUUGAAAGUCAGAUGUGAAAUCCCCGAGCUCAACUUGGGAACUGCGUUUGAAACUCCAAAGCUAGAGUAUAGGAGAGGGGGUAGAAUUCCACGUGUAGCAGUGAAAUGCGUAGAGAUGUGGAGGAAUACCAAUGGCGAAGGCAGCCCCCUGGCCUAAUACUGACGCUCAUGCACGAAAGCGUGGGGAGCAAACAGGAUUAGAUACCCUGGUAGUCCACGCCCUAAACGAUGUCUACUAGUUGUUGGUGGAGUAAAAUCCAUUAGUAACGCAGCUAACGCGUGAAGUAGACCGCCUGGGGAGUACGGUCGCAAGAUUAAAACUUCAAAGGAAUUGACGG
RNAcentral lists this ribosomal RNA (587 nucleotides) under uncultured bacterium. Its description in RNAcentral is "bacterial SSU rRNA". It matches the Rfam family "Bacterial small subunit ribosomal RNA", at positions 338 to 916 of the family's 1533-position model. The record is from RNAcentral.